GACACAGUAGGACCAUAAGGGGAACGGAACAGCUUUGGUUUUAAGCCUGCAGACCACAAGGAGCCACGUGUAAAUUUCCUCCUGACUCUAGAGAAGGGAUCUGGAGCCUGGGGGCAAGGUCAGGGCAGAGAUGGCCAUGUAGGACCUCAGCCUGGAGGAGGUAGGAGAUGGGGUGCAGUCUCUGCAGGGAGAAGGAUUCCAACACUGCCUCCCAGGGGACGGCUGUCACUGGGCUGGGGUGGCAAGUGGCAUCGCAGCUUCACUCUUCCUUCCUGGUCACUCCCCUUCGGUCCUGGGGGACAGAGAGCAAUGCAGGAUAAAGACAGUGCGAGGUGGGGCUAUUACUCUCCCCUCCCCAAGGCCAGGAAGGGACCUAUGGAUCUGCCACUGUUUGUGGUCCUGGAGGGCUUUGCUAGGUCAAGGCACCUGUCAAAGCCUCCCUUUGCCCUCUCAAGCCACAGGGAGAAGACCAGAGGUGGCCCAUCUUUAUCGGCAAUCUCGGAUGACCCAACCAAUAUACGUCAAUAACGAAUUGUGUGAUCUCGUGCAAGUCGCUUUGCCCUGCUGACCCAGUUGCAUUGUGAAAUAAUAGCUAAGGAGAUAAUGGACAGCGGGUAUUUUGCGAACUUUGUGCUGAUAUGCACAGGUUAGUCCCCAUGACAAUGACUCUCUGAUUCUGUUGUCUGGAACGCUGGAAAACUGCUCUCCCUCUCUCAGGAAUUCACAGGGCGAAAAUGCUUCUGAUCCUGAGCCGCCGGGAAGGACCAGGUUUCUGGUUUCUGGGGCAAGGUGAGCCCCUUUCUCUCAGGGAUCCGAGGGGGAAAGGAGAAUUCCCUGCUCCUGGGGUGGGUUCUUCUGGAAGCCACACCACCCUUCCUUGCCUCCGAGCAGGGCGCCCGGCCCCAGUUCUGUCUGGAAACACCUUGCCUAGCCCCGGGGCCAGCCCUGUCUCAGCAAGGCCUCAGCCACGUGGAACCUGAAAGCUGCCAAGGUCGCCGCCGUGAAGGUUGGAUGAUCUGGUGGAGGGGUUCCUCGCACUGGCCGGGUCGGCGCUCAGCAGACAGCGCCAUCAACACGGUGAUGAAAGUGAGAAUCGGGGUCCACGAACGGCGCCAGGCUGGAGAUGACCAAGACCCAGGCACUGUCGAGAACUCGGGGCUCUACGUUUGCUGGUUCUGCUGUUGUUUUGCAACUCUGUAGCAUUUGAACGGGAGGCCAGGAGUCCCGCUGCGAGAGGGGAAGCGAGGGUGGUGGGCGAGCCCCUUCCCACCCCGGCCCCGUCAAGGAUUCGCGGCCCUGUGAGCAAAGCACUUUGUGACUCACGGCCGCUCCAGGGCAGGCUCUCGGGUGAAGGAAGCAUGCUUUGUGGGUUGGUCUUGCAGGGGGGAGUCCGACAUCCUGAGGGGCAGGGGGCAUCACGAGCGGAUGUUGGUCUGCCCCCGGAGGGAGGGAGAGGGUUCGAGAAAGAACAAUCCUAGUUCGGUCUGGAGAAAUGAUUUGGAUGCUCAGAGCAGACCGCCUGGGAAACGAACAGGUGAGUCAGCUCAGCUCGGACGGAGGGAAGGAGAAGAUCGGUUUUCUUUUUCGGAAGCAGAAGCAAAGGUUCCUAGCCGGUGGUGACAGGGACGAAGGCGAUGACGGCAGCUGACAGACACGCAGGGCGUUUGUUUAUUACGAAUGCGGUGUGUCAGACACCCACCUCAGCUCGGCUGACCCUCAGCACAGCCUGGGGGGUAAAUGCGGGUAUUAUCUCUGUUUUUUAGAUGAGGACUCGGAGCCCGCAGUAAGAUUAAGGAGCUGGCCCUGGUCACUGGGUCACUCGACUGGCUGAGUGGGGGCCGGGAUCUCAGGCCCCAGGCCGAGCACACCUGGGCCAGACGCAGCCGCCGAGGCCUGGAAAGGGGAAUGGCCGGCCCACAGAACACAGCCAGGGAGAGUCCAGCCCGGGACCGGAACCCCGUCUUCUGAGGCUCAUGCUAACGUCCUUCCUGUCCUUCCGCAAAGAAGGACUAAGGUACGUGCUGGGGUCCGAGGCCUCCAGCUCGUCCUCAUAGAGCGGACUGUUGCAGUGCAGGCUGACGGCCGGGGAGGGAGAAGUUUGAGGUUCCAGGGUGUUGAUGGGGGAGGAGAUGGGGCUCCGGGCAGACCUAAGCAGGGACAGCGUGCCUGGAAGGGCGUGUGCGGGUCGUGUGUGUGUGUGUGUGUGUGUGUGUGUGUGUGUGGCCAAGGGUGACCUCCUGGAGGAAGUUCCUUUCCAUCUGCCUCUGACUGGUGACAAGGAAUGGGGCCAAGGUCAGGGCUGGGGAGGGAGGGAGAGCGCCCCUCCCCGGCAGAGGGUGCACGGGACAGGCAGGCUGGAACCUGAGCAGCCUCCAGAUGACAGUCAAGUGGCCACAGGAAGACUCCAAUGGGGAGCGAGCGGAGAACGUGAAGGGAUGGAAGAGACCUGGUGUAGAUUCCACGCUGCCUUCCACAACUCCCGCAGGGGUCCUCAAACUUUUCA
Non-coding RNA from Microcebus murinus (gray mouse lemur), 2503 nucleotides. NCBI's taxonomy places the organism in Eukaryota, Metazoa, Chordata, Mammalia, Primates, Cheirogaleidae. The record is from RefSeq and is a predicted model, not a curated record.